UGUUCUUCAUGGUGGCGUCGUGGAUUCAGCGUGUUUGACGGCGGUUCGUGGAUUCGGAUCGUGGGCUCAUGGAUUCGAGUGGCGUUCGUGGAUUCGGACGUGUGCGAGGCGUUCGUGGAUUCGAACGUGAGGGCGUGGACAACCCGGAGGAUUGCGCGAGAUUCGUAGGAGGUUAAGAGAGGUUGAGUCCGUGGAGCCGGUAAUCACCUUGUAAUCUUUUCUUUUAGUAAAUUAUUUUUUCGCGUGUUGGUCCCGUGGAUUUUUUACUCCAAGUUGGAGUUUUUCCACGUAAAUCUCGGUGUGAUUUUUAUUUUUCGCAUUCAUAUUUAUCACAUUGAGAUUUAUGGUUUUUGGCUAUUUCACCUAUUCACCCCCCUCUAGGUGAUAGAUACAAUCUAGAUAGAUCCUUGGGCUCCUCAAAACUUACAAUUGGUAUCAGAGAAUCUAGAUAAAUUGUUUAUCUAAUGGCCGAAGGUGAAAACAUUAAUCGACCAUCGCUUUUCGAUGGCACAAACUAUGCCUAUUGGAAAGUUCGCAUGAGAGCUUUUCUAAUUGCAAUCGAUGAGCGCGUUUGGCAAUCAAUAGAAUUUGGAUGGAAACAUCCUAUUGAAAAGGUCAAGAAUGUUGAAACGCCAAAACCAUGGAACAAGGGGACGAAAGAUGAAAACGAGGCAUCUUCGUUUAACGGCAAGGGCAUAAACGCUUUAUUUAAUGCAUUGUCUCAAACGAAGUUUACUCGUGUUUCGGCGUGUGAAACCGCCAAGGAGAUUUGGGAUAUUCUUCAAGUUACACAUGAAGGAACGGGCUUAGUAAAGGUCCAAAAGUUGCAAAUGCUAACAAGCAAGUUUGAUUCUAUUUGUAUGGAUGAAAACGAGACCUUUACCGAGUAUUAUACGCGUCUACAAGACGUUGUGAAUACAUGUGCUAACUUGGGAGAGAAAAUCUCGGAUUCAAAGGUUGUUAGAAAGAUUCUUCGAACUCUUCCGGAACGCUUUCGGGCAAAAGUUGCCGUGAUCGAAACCGUUAAGCAUCCGGAUGAGAUGAAAGUCGAAGAGUUAGUAGGCGCUUUACAAACAUAUGAGAUGACUUUUCCUACUAAUCAAUCUUCUUCGAAGUCUUUCUCUAAAAGCACAGGGGUUGCAUUGAAAUCGACGAAAGAGGAAGACGGCGACUCGAAUUCCGAUGGAGAGAUCUCAAUUUCCGACUUCGAACAUCAACUUGCGCUCCUCACGAAAAAGUUUCGCCCGAAUUUCCGAAGGAAGAACAAUUCGGACAAGGCUACAUCAUCUAAGCAACAAACGUUUUUUAAAUCUUCUACAUCUAAAGAGAAGAAGCGUGCACAGGCUUCGAAAGAAAAGGAUGAAUUUGAAGGUGAAAUCCGAUGCUUCAAGUGCAAAGGCUACGGUCACAUCGCAACGGAUUGUCCCUCAAAGAAAUCAUAUAGUAAGAAGGCAUUGCAAGCAAAGACGUGGGAUGAUGCAACUUCAAGUGAUUCAAGCUCGAGUGACGAAGAAAAGAAUGGAAACCUUGCUUUAUUUGCUAAAUCUACCUUGCCUUCGUCUAACGAUCCUCUAUUGCUACUAAUUCCAAUAUUUCUCUUUCUUCGCAUGAUUCUUCGAGCGACAAUGGCAAAAGCGAGGAGGAAUCAAACGACAACGACAUAGCGGAAGCGUACAAUCAACUUCUUAUUGAAUCAAAGAAGAUGGCUAAACUUAAUAAGAAGUUGAGGCGUCGUUUGUUGAAUCUUGAAGAGGACAACAACAACUUGAAGACCACAAACAAAGCUCUUGAGGAGGAAAGGGAAUCAAUUUUGAAAAAUAAUUCGGACCUCCAAGAGAAGCUCAAUGAAACGGAAUAAACGAUCUAAUCAUGUAAAGACAAGAUUGGAUUUUUAGAACAUCAAUUUCAUGAAUCGCACAAAUCCAAUCAAUCCUUGAUCAACCAAUUCGACAACUCCAAAUCGACAUUCAAAAGUUUUCAUUGAGAUCUAAGAAAUUGGAUAAAAUGCUUGGAUUGGGUCAAACGGAUAAAUUAGGCCUCGGAGACGAAAGAGUUUUUGUUGAGAAGGAUUCUAAAUCAACUUCGAAAGUCUCAACAACUUUGAAAGACAAGGCGUGUCAUCGUUGUGGCAUUAAAGGACACAUCAAAAAGAAUUGCUCAAACAAGGAAAAGAUGAAUCAAUCGGCAAGGACUUCACAUCAUUCGACAACUCCUAAAGCUCAAGCGGCAUCAUCUACAACUCGACUUCCCCCGCGGAAUCAAAAGAAAAAUCAAGUGAGUCGAGUAUCUCAAAAGAAUCGGACUUCUAAACCGCAACGCCAAGUUCUAACUUAGCCUCAAGUGAAGAAAACACCAACGGUUGAUCUAAAAUCUAAGCAAAUGGCAUCAAACGUCGACAAGUCGAGAAAACCAAAGAUCCGACAAGUUUGGAUCCGGAAAGGUGAUAUCUUUCCUUGCUUCUCGUCUUAGUUGUUUUUUGAUUGCUUGUGUAGUGCUUUGAUAGGUGCUUAUUGCAUAUGUUUAUUCGCUGCAUUACAUGUUUAAAUAAUUUUUGGUGCUUUGAAUUUUGUUUGUUUAAAGAUCAUUUUGAGGAAAGGUGUUUGGGAAUUUAAAAAUUUUUCUUUGAGAGAGGAGAUGAUUGAGAAUCAUUAUUUUGAGGAGAGAAAUUUUUCAAAAUUGUUUAAACGGUGUUUAACUUCACAAUCAUAUUAAUUAUCGUUUUUACUCCACUUUUUAUUAUUUUGACGAUAAUUUAAUAUAUGAUUUCUCAAUACAUAUAUUUAUCAAAAUUUUGAAAUCAAAUUUGAUCUCUUGAUGAUUAAUCUAUCUCGGUUGUGGGUGUUGAAUAUGACAGAUGGAUAUUCGCUAAUAGGUUUCCUCAUCUAAUUUAAUCGUUUUUACCUCAUCUAAUCUCAAGUUUCAGCUUCUAGCUGAAUUCAUAUUGUUCUAUUAGGUUUCCUCAUAGAAUUACAUGCUAGUAGCAAGUUCUAACAUCCAAAAUCUGUUAAGGUUUUUGUAUUGGCAAGUUUCGUGAAAUGAGUCAGAGUCUUGAAGAAUCGAAGCAGAUUGACGAAGAUUGAAGAAUUCAAUAUUUCGAAGAUUUUGGAAAGUAGCUCACAAUGUGAAUCACGAUGUAAAGGUAAAGUUUUAAUUCAUUUUAUGGUGAUUCAUACUUAGUUAUAGACAUUAAAAUCAUAAACUUAAAGUUUAAUGAAUUAGAAAGUGCCUCGGAACAUUGUGAUACCCGAAACAGUGCAAAGUGUGAAAUUUGCACUGUGUACGGGUACAGCAAGUGCCCCGUACUGGUACAGCCAUCAACAUUGGCAAUGCAAAUUUUCGUUCCGUCAUUGUGUAACCGGUGACAGCUUUUCGCGUACCGGUACACAGUGUAAAAUCGUGAAAACUUUCUAAUCCGACUCCAAUUGAUUCUAAAGUCUAUAAAUAAGCUAUUCGGUUUUUCUAACAGAUUAAGGAUCACGAAAAUACAUGUUUGAGAAACCCUAGAGGCUCGGAUUUCAUCUAAAACCUAUUUUCUACAUAUUAGCCUCUUUUAGGUCAAAUCGAGAUAUUGAAAUUUCAUAUCUAUAUGUCGAUUUGAUCUCCGCUUCGCUUGGAGUUUCUUUCUUUGGUUUUCAUCGAUACUCUAAGCGAAGGAUCACCAUACUCAUGAUGUUCUUCAUGGUGGCGUCGUGGAUUCGGCGUGUUUAACGGCGGUUCGUGAAUUCGAAUCGUGGGCUCGUGGAUUCGAGUGGCGUUCGUAGAUUCGGACGUGUGCGAGGCGUUCGUGGAUUCGAACGUGAGGGCGUGGACAACCCAGAGGAUUGCGCGAGAUUCAUAGGAUGUUAAGAGAGGUUGAGUCCGUGGAGUCGGUAAUCACCUUGUAAUUUUUUCUUUUAGUGAAUUAUUUUUUCGCGUGUUGGUCCCGUGGGUUUUUUACUCCAAGUUGGAGUUUUCCCACGUAAAUCUCGGUGUGAUUUUUAUUUUCCGCAUUUAUUUUUAUCGCAUUGAGAUUUGUGGUUUUUGGCUAUUUCACCUAUUCACCCCCCUCUAGGUGAUAGAUACAAUAUAGAUAGAUCCUUGGGCUCCUCAAAACUUUCAAUUGGUAUCAAAGAAGGAUCUAGAUAAAUUGUUUAUCUAAUGGUCGAAAGUGGAAACAUUAAUCGACCACCGCUCUUCGAUGGCACAAACCCUAUUGGAAAGUUCGCAUGAGUGCUUUUCUAAUUGCAAUCGAUGAGCGCGUUUGGCAAUCAAUAGAAUUUGGAUGGGAACCUCCCAUUGAAAAGGUCAAGAAUGUUGAAAUGCCAAAACAACGGAACAAGUAGACGAAAGAUGAAAACGAGGCAUCUUCGUUUAACGGUAAGGGCAUAAACGCUUUAUUUAAUGCAUUGUCUCAAAAGGAGUUUACUCGUGUUUCGGCGUGUGAAACCGCCAAGGAGAUUUGGGAUAUUCUUCAAGUUACACAUGAAGGAACGAGCUUAGUAAAGGUCCAAAAGUAGCAAAUGCUAACAAGCAAGUUUGAUUCUACUUGUAUGGAUGAAAAUGAGACCUUUACCGAGUAUUAUACGCAUCUACAAGACGUUGUGAAUACAUGUGCUAACUUGGGAGAGAAAAUCUCGGAUUCAAAGGUUGUUAGAAAGAUUCUUCGAACUCUUCUGGAACGCUUUCGGGCAAAAGUUGCCGCGAUCGAAACCGUUAAGCAUCCGGAUGAGAUGAAAGUCGAAGAGUUAGUAGGCGCUUUACAAACAUAUGAGAUGACUUUUCCUACUAAUCAAUCUUCUUCGAAGUCUUUCUCUAAAAGCACAGGGGUUGCAUUGAAAUCGACGAAAGAGGAAGACGGCGACUCGAAUUCCGAUGGAGAGAUCUCAAUUGCCGACUUCGAACAUCAACUUGCGCUCCUCACGAAAAAGUUUCGCCGGAAUUUCCGAAAGAAGAACAAUUCGGACAAGGCUACAUCAUCUAAGCAACAAACGUUUUUUAAAUCUUCUACAUCUAAAGAGAAGAAGCAUGCAAAGGCUUCGAAAGAAAAGGAUGAAUUUGAAGGUGAAAUCCGAUGCUUCAAGUGCAAAGGCUACGGUCACAUCGCAACGGAUUGUCCCUCAAAGAAAUCAUAUAGUAAGAAGGCAUUGCAAGCAAAGAUGUGGGAUGAUGCAACUUCAAGUGAUUCAAGCUCGAGUGACGAAGAAAAGAAUGGAAACCUUACUUUAUUUGCUAAAUCUACCUUGCCUUCGUCUAACGUUGUUUGUUUAUCCUCUAUUGCUACUAAUUCCAAUAUUUCUCUUUCUUCGCAUGAUUCUUCGAGCGACAAUGGCAAAAGUGAGGAGGAAUCAAACGACGACGACAUAGCGGAAGCGUACAAUCAACUUCUUAUUGAAUCAAAGAAGAUGGCUAAACUUAAUAAGAAGUUGAGGCGUCGUUUGUUGAAUCUUGAAGAGGACAACAACAACUUGAAGACCACAAACAAAGCUCUUGAGGAGGAAAGGGAAUCAAUUUUGAAAAAUAAUUCAGACCUCCAAGAGAAGCUCAAUGAAGCGGAAUCAACGAUCAAAUCAUCUAAAAACAAGAUUGGAUUUUUGGAGCAUCAAUUUCAUGAAUCGCACAAAUCCAAUCAAUCCUUGAUCAACCAAGUUCGACAACUCCAAAUCGACAUUCAAAAGUUUUCAUCGAGAUCUAAGAAAUUGGAUAAAAUGCUUGGAUUGGGUCAAACGGAUAAAUUAGGCCUCGGAUACGAAAGAAUUUUUGUUGAGAAGGAUUCUAAAUCAACUUCGAAAGUCUCAACAACUUUGAAAGACAAGGCGUGUCAUCGUUGUGGCAAUAAAGGACACAUAAAAAAGAAUUGCUCAAACAAGGAAAAGAUGAAUCAAUCGGCAAAGACUUCACAUCAUUCGACAACUCCUAAAGCUCAAGCGGCAUCAUCUACAACUCGACUUCCCCCGCGGAAUCAAAAGAAAAAUCAAGUGAGUCGAGUAUCUCGAAAGAAUCGGACUUCUAAACCGCAACGCCAAGUUCAAACUAAGCCUCAAGCGAAGAAAACACCAACGGUUGAUCUAAAAUCUAAGCAAAUGGCACCAAACGUCGACAAGUCGAGAAAACCAAAGAUCCGACAAGUUUGGAUCCGGAAAGGUGAUAUCUUUCCUUGCUUCUCGUCUUAGUUGUUUUUGAUUGCUUGUGUAGUGCUUUGAUAGGUGCUUAUUGCAUAUGUUUAUUCACUGCAUUACAUGUUUAAAUAAUUUUUGGUGCUUUGAAUUUUGUUUGUUUAAAGAUCAUUUUGAGGAAAGGUGUUUGGAAAUUUAAAAAUUUUUCUUUGAGAGAGGAGAUGAUUGAGAAUCAUUAUUUUGAGGAGAGAAAUUUUUCAAAAUUGUUUAAACGGUGUUUAACUUCACAAUCAUAUUAAUUAUCGUUUUUACUCCACUUUUUAUUAUUUUGACNAUAUUAAUUAUCGUUUUUACUCCACUUUUUAUUAUUUUGACCAUAAUUUAAUAUAUGAUUUCUCAAUACAUAUAUUUAUCAAAAUUUUGAAAUCAAAUUUGAUCUCUUGAUGAUUAAUCUAUCUCGGUUGUGUGUUUUGAAUAUGGUAGAUGGAUAUUCGCUAAUAGGUUUCCUCAUCUAAUUUAAGCGUUUUUACCUCAUCUAAUCUCAAGUUUCAGCUUCUAGCUGAAUUCAUAUUGUUCUAUUAGGUUUCCUCAUAGAAUUACAUGCUAGUAGCAAGUUCUAACAUCCAAAAUCUGUUAAGGUUUUUGUGUUGGCGAGUUUCGUGAAGUGAGUCGUAGUCUUGAAGGAUCGAAGCGGAUUGACGAAGAUUGAAGAAUUCAAGAUUUCGAAGAUUUUAGAAAGUAGCUCACAAUGUGAAUCACGACGUAAAGGUAAAGUUUUAAUUCAUGUUAUGGUGAUUCAUACUUAGUUAUAGGCAUUAGAAUUAUAAACUUAAAGUUUAAUGAAUUAGAAAGUGCCAUGGAACGUUGUGAUAUCCGAAAUAGUGCAAAGUGUGAAAUUUGCACUGUGUACCGGUACAGCAAGUGCCCCGUACCGGUACAGCCAUCAACAUUGGCAAUGCAAAUUUUCGUUCCGUCAUUGUGUAACCGGUGACAGCUUUUCGCGUACCAGUACACAGUGUAAAAUCGUGAAAACUUUCUUAUUCGACUCCAAUUGAUUCUAAAGUCUAUAAAUAAGCUAUUGGGCUUCUCUAACAGAUUACGGAUCACGAAAAUACAUGUUUGAGAAACCCUAGAGGCUCGGAUUUCAUCUAAAACCUAUUUUCUACAUAUUAGCCUCUUUUAGGUCAAAUCGAGAUAUUCAAAUUUCAUAUCAAUAUGUCGAUUUCAUCUCCACUUCGCUUGGAGUUUCUUUCUCUGGUUUUCAUCGAUACUCUAAGCGAAGGAUCACCAUACUCAUGAUGUUCUUCAAGGUGGCGUCGUGGAUUCGGCGUGUUCGACGGCGGUUCGUGGGUUCGGAUCGUGGGCUCGUGGAUUCGAGUGGCGUUCGUGGAUUCGGACGUGUGCGAGGCGUUCGUGGAUUCGAACGUCAGGGCGUGGACAGCCCGGAGGAUUGCGCGAGAUUCAUAGGUGGUUAAGAGAGGUUGAGUCCGUGGAGUCGGUAAUCACCUUGUAAUCUUUUCUUUUAGUGAAUUAUUUUUUCGCGUGUUGGUCCCGUGGGUUUUUUACUCCAAGUUGGAGUUUUCCCACGUAAAUCUCGGUGUGAUUUUUAUUUUUCGUAUUUAUUUUUAUCGCAUUGAGAUUUGUGGUUUUUGGCUAUUUCACCUAUUCACCCCACUCUAGGUGAUAGAUACAAUCUAGAUAGAUUCUUGGCUCCUCAAAACUUUUAAAAUCAGUAAUUUAGAUCCUUUCUAGAUCAAUUAAUCUACUCAAACCUGGAAUUUACCAAUCCUUACCUCAGAUUUCAGCUACCCCCAGCUGGUUUCUCUACUUAAAAGACUUCCUCUCGGCUCAAUUCCACUCCACCAAUCAACUCUACCAACUUCUUCACAAUCAGCCAUCUCAGGUUUAGAGAGAGAAAGAAGAAGAAAGAGCUAAAUAAGAGAG
RNAcentral lists this long non-coding RNA (8036 nucleotides) under Ananas comosus (pineapple). RNAcentral's name for it is "long non-coding RNA (ACOM_LNC034114)". The record is from RNAcentral. Lineage: Eukaryota; Viridiplantae; Streptophyta; Magnoliopsida; Poales; Bromeliaceae.